UGUUUUGUUUCUGAGGUUGGUAAAAUUUUUGGUUGCUUUUCGUCUCCUCGACUGAUCUGUCUCCCCAGACAGCAUGUGCAGCAGAAGCAGGAGGAAGGGCCCCCUCGAACUUUUCCAUGAUGUGCUCACUGCUGUCUCUUUGGCAGCUCCGCAGAUGCCAUGCUGUUCUCUAGGACGUGGUGUUUGGCUGGAGAACACCCUGGCGAGAAGGGAUGUUGAAAAAUAGCAGUAGCAGCAACAGUAGCAACAGAUGGGGCUAGCAACCUUUCCCUGGCUCAGACCUUGCAGCUGCUACAUUGCCUAGCUUAGGUCUUGAGAUAAAGUUCUCUCAGCCACAAUUUUAAAGGCCUUGAGAGUAAAGCAUUUCAAAGUCUUUAAUACUCUGCAACUUAUUUUGCAAGCUAAAUCCACCAUCUAGCAUAGAAUUUCUCAGGCUCCAAAUACCAUGGGAGCUGGCUGCUUCAGAAGGCAAAGCCUGGCUUGCAGUCCUUCCCGACAGAUACAUCUUGUGUACAAUACAACAGCUCCUGCGAGGAGUACCGGUAGCACCGCACAGCCAGUCUCGUGUUGUCCUGCCUCAUCCAGGUCUGAGGGUUUGUGACAGCUGAUAUCAGGGAGUUCGCGGAGCUCUGGGAGAUGUGGAGAGAAUAAAUUCCAUGGAAUGCA
Long non-coding RNA from Oxyura jamaicensis (ruddy duck), 666 nucleotides. RefSeq lists it as uncharacterized. The transcript has 3 exons. The record is from RefSeq and is a predicted model, not a curated record. NCBI's taxonomy places the organism in Eukaryota, Metazoa, Chordata, Aves, Anseriformes, Anatidae.